Long non-coding RNA from Carya illinoinensis, 418 nucleotides. RefSeq lists it as uncharacterized. NCBI's taxonomy places the organism in Eukaryota, Viridiplantae, Streptophyta, Magnoliopsida, Fagales, Juglandaceae. The record is from RefSeq and is a predicted model, not a curated record. The transcript is spliced from 2 exons.
GUUGACAUCGUCUCCCCCACCCAAUGUCGCCAUCCUCUCCCCUACCCGCAACCCACAUCGCCAUCCUCUCCCCCACCCAUCAUCGCCAUCGUCUUCUUCUCUCCGAUUUCGAUACCGAUAAUUCGAAUUCUGGAUAGACAAUGGAUUCAUACAUGGAACAAGGUACACAACAUUAGGCUCCUCAAUUCCAAGUACAUUGGUGGGGAUGAAUUCCAACAUGGAUUAUUUUGGUGAUAGACGGACUACUCUCUCUUUAGUGAAGUAUCAUUGGUGGAGAUGUCAUAUAUAUAUAUAUAUAUAUAUAUUUUGUAGAGAUGACUAUUUUUAGUGCAUAUUGUCUCCAUAAACAUGUAGCUAUUGUAAAUUCCAGACAUUGUUGUUCUUGAGUAUUUCAAUGCUUUAUUGAGCAAGUUUGAUC